Molecule: ribosomal RNA, 253 nt
Filed under: uncultured bacterium
Lineage: Bacteria
Description: partial 16S ribosomal RNA
Rfam family: Bacterial small subunit ribosomal RNA
Source: RNAcentral
UACAGAGGUCCCAAGCGUUGUUCGGAUUCAUUGGGCGUAAAGGGUGCGUAGGCGGCGCGGUAAGUCGGGUGUGAAAUCUCGGAGCUUAACUCCGAAACUGCAUUCGAUACUGCCGUGCUUGAGGACUGGAGAGGAGACUGGAAUUUACGGUGUAGCGGUGAAAUGCGUAGAUAUCGGGAGGAACACCAGUGGCGAAGGCGGAACUCUGGGCCGGAACUGACGCUGAGGAGCGAAAGCGUGGGGAGCGAACAGG